Molecule: ribosomal RNA, 468 nt
Filed under: uncultured bacterium
Lineage: Bacteria
Description: partial 16S ribosomal RNA
Rfam family: Bacterial small subunit ribosomal RNA
Source: RNAcentral
GACGAACGCUGGCGGCGUGCUUAACACAUGCAAGUCGAACGGAAAGGCCCUGCUUUUGUGGGGUGCUCGAGUGGCGAACGGGUGAGUAACACGUGAGUAACCUGCCCUUGACUUUGGGAUAACUUCAGGAAACUGGGGCUAAUACCGGAUAGGAGCUCCUGCUGCAUGGGGGGGGUUGGAAAGUUUCGGCGGUUGGGGAUGGACUCGCGGCUUAUCAGCUUGUUGGUGGGGUAGUGGCUUACCAAGGCUUUGACGGGUAGCCGGCCUGAGAGGGUGACCGGCCACAUUGGGACUGAGAUACGGCCCAGACUCCUACGGGAGGCAGCAGUGGGGAAUAUUGCACAAUGGGCGGAAGCCUGAUGCAGCAACGCCGCGUGCGGGAUGACGGCCUUCGGGUUGUAAACCGCUUUCGCCUGUGACGAAGCGUCAGUGACGGUAAUGGGUAAAGAAGCACCGGCUAACUACGUG